GGAAUACCGAUGGCGAAGGCAGCCACCUGGGUCAACACUGACGCUCAUGUACGAAAGCGUGGGGAGCAAACGGGAUUAGAUACCCCGGUAGUCCACGCCGUAAACGAUGUCUACUAGAAGCUCGGGUCCUCGGACUUGUUUUUCAAAGCUAACGCAUUAAGUAGA
This 165-nucleotide ribosomal RNA is filed under the name uncultured Pseudoalteromonas sp. RNAcentral describes it as "partial 16S ribosomal RNA". It matches the Rfam family "Bacterial small subunit ribosomal RNA", at positions 703 to 868 of the family's 1533-position model. Lineage: Bacteria; Pseudomonadati; Pseudomonadota; Gammaproteobacteria; Alteromonadales; Pseudoalteromonadaceae. The record is from RNAcentral.